Molecule: ribosomal RNA, 224 nt
Filed under: uncultured Synergistaceae bacterium
Lineage: Bacteria; Thermotogati; Synergistota; Synergistia; Synergistales; Synergistaceae
Description: partial 16S ribosomal RNA
Rfam family: Bacterial small subunit ribosomal RNA
Source: RNAcentral
AAGAUGGAGGAAGGUGGGGAUGACGUCAAGUCAUCAUGGCCCUUAUGUCCAGGGCGACACACGUGCUACAAUGGCCGGCACAACGGGAAGCGAGUUCGCGAGGACGAGCGGAUCCCUCAAAGCCGGUCGCAGUUCGGAUUGAAGUCUGCAACUCGACUUCAUGAAGCUGGAAUCGCUAGUAAUCGUGGAUCAGCCAAGCCGCGGUGAAUACGUUCCCGGGCCUU